Molecule: ribosomal RNA, 443 nt
Filed under: uncultured bacterium
Lineage: Bacteria
Description: partial 16S ribosomal RNA
Rfam family: Bacterial small subunit ribosomal RNA
Source: RNAcentral
CCUACGUGGGGCAGCAGUGGGGAAUAUUGGGCAAUGGAGGCAACUCUGACCCAGCAACGCCGCGUGAAUGAUGAAGGUCUUCGGAUUGUAAAGUCCUUUUCUUAGGGAAGAAGAUAGUGACGGUACCUUAGGAAUAAGCCUCGGCUAACUACGUGCCAGCAGCCGCGGUAAUACGUAGGCGGCAAGCGUUAUCCGGAAUGACUGGGCGUAAAGGGGGCGUAGGUGGUGUGACAAGUUAGUAGCGAAACACCGGAGCUCAACUUCGGAACUACAUCUAAAACUGUUGGAGUUGAGUGCAGGAGGGGCAAGCGGAAUUCCUAGUGUAGCGGUAGAAUGCGUAGAUAUUAGGAGGAACACCAGUGGCGAAGGCGGAUUGCUAGACUGUAACUGACACUGAGGCACGAAAGCGUGGGGAGCAAACAGGAUUAGAUACCCGGGUAGUC